CCUACGGGUGGCAGCAGUGGGGAAUAUUCCGCAAUGGGCGCAAGCCUGACCCAGCAACGCCGCGUGAAGGAAGAAGGCUCUCGGAUUGUAAACUUCUUUUAUCAGGGACGAAGCAUGUGACGGUACCUGAUUAAUAAGCCACCGCUAACUACGUGCCAGCCGCCGCGGGAAUACGUAGGUGGCAAGCGUUAUCCGGAUUUACGGGGGGUAAAGGGCGUGGAGGCCGGAUAGCAAGUCAGAUGUGAAAACCAUGGGCUUAAACUGUGGCCUGCUUUGGAUACUGUUUAACUUGAGUACUGGAGAGGCAGACGGAAUUCCAAGUGUAGCGGUGAAAUGCGUAGAUAUUAGGAGGAACACCAGUGGCGAAGGCGGUCUGCUGGACAGCAACUGACGCUGAGGCGCGAAAGCGUGGGGAGCAAACAGGAUUAGAUACCCGAGUAGUC
Molecule: ribosomal RNA, 443 nt
Filed under: uncultured bacterium
Lineage: Bacteria
Description: partial 16S ribosomal RNA
Rfam family: Bacterial small subunit ribosomal RNA
Source: RNAcentral